This 433-nucleotide ribosomal RNA is filed under the name uncultured bacterium. Its description in RNAcentral is "partial 16S ribosomal RNA". It matches the Rfam family "Bacterial small subunit ribosomal RNA", at positions 29 to 507 of the family's 1533-position model. The record is from RNAcentral.
AACGAACGCUGGCGGCAUGCCUAACACAUGCAAGUCGAACGAGACCUUCGGGUCUAGUGGCGCACGGGUGCGUAACGCGUGGGAACCUGCCCUUAGGUUCGGAAUAACUCCCCGAAAGGGGUGCUAAUACCGGAUAAUGUCUUCGGACCAAAGAUUUAUCGCCUUUGGAUGGGCCCGCGUUGGAUUAGCUAGUUGGUAGGGUAAAAGCCUACCAAGGCGACGAUCCAUAGCUGGUCGGAGAGGAUGAUCAGCCACACUGGGACUGAGACACGGCCCAGACUCCUACGGGAGGCAGGAGUGGGGAAUAUUGGACAAGGGGCGAAAGCCUGAUCCAGCAAUGCCGCGUGAGUGAUGAAGGCCUUAGGGUUGUAAAGCUCUUUUACCCGGGAUGAUAAUGACAGUACCGGGAGAAUAAGCUCCGGCUAACUCCGUG